Molecule: ribosomal RNA, 305 nt
Filed under: uncultured bacterium
Lineage: Bacteria
Description: bacterial SSU rRNA
Rfam family: Bacterial small subunit ribosomal RNA
Source: RNAcentral
CCAUGCCUACGGGACGCAGCAGUGAGGAAUAUUGGUCAAUGGACGAGAGUCUGAACCAGCCACGUAGCGUGAAGGAUGACUGCCCUAUGGGUUGUAAACUUCUUUUAUAAAGGAAUAAAGUGAGGCACGUGUGCCUUUUUGUAUGUACUUUAUGAAUAAGGAUCGGCUAACUCCGUGCCAGCAGCCGCGGUAAUACGGAGGAUCCGAGCGUUAUCCGGAUUUAUUGGGUUAAAAGGGAGCGUAGAUGGGUUGUUAAGUCAGUUGUGAAAGUUUGCGGCUCAACCGUAAAAUUGCAAUUGAUACUG